Molecule: RNA transcript, 4713 nt
Organism: Pan troglodytes (chimpanzee)
Lineage: Eukaryota; Metazoa; Chordata; Mammalia; Primates; Hominidae
Gene: CNDP2
Gene name: carnosine dipeptidase 2
Exons: 12
Source: RefSeq, marked provisional
GUGGCGAUGCCUGCCCCCCAGACAAGGCGGGGUUGGUGGCCAGGGCGACAGCGGGGCGGGCCAGCGCCGGGGGUCGUGGCCGGGACACGUGGUACGGAACCGGCGCCGCGCUUGCUGCUGGUAAGAGGGCCUUGCCUGGUGGGCCUUCCUUCCCAGGUCGACCGUCAGUCCCCACUAGAGACAGGACUGACCAGUUGCUCUUCCUUCCAAGAACCUUCGAGAUCUGCGGUCUGGGGUCUGGUUGAAAGAUGGCGGCCCUCACUACCCUGUUUAAGUACAUAGAUGAAAAUCAGGAUCGUUACAUUAAGAAACUCGCAAAAUGGGUGGCUAUCCAGAGUGUGUCUGCGUGGCCGGAGAAGAGAGGCGAAAUCAGGAGGAUGAUGGAGGUUGCUGCUGCAGAUGUUAAGCAGUUGGGCGGCUCUGUGGAACUGGUGGAUAUCGGAAAACAAAAGCUCCCUGAUGGCUCGGAGAUCCCGCUCCCUCCUAUUCUGCUCGGCAGGCUGGGCUCCGACCCACAGAAGAAGACCGUGUGCAUUUACGGGCACCUGGAUGUGCAGCCUGCAGCCCUGGAGGACGGCUGGGACAGCGAGCCCUUCACCCUGGUGGAGCGAGACGGCAAGCUGUAUGGGAGAGGUUCGACUGAUGAUAAGGGCCCGGUGGCCGGCUGGAUAAACGCCCUGGAAGCGUAUCAGAAAACAGGCCAGGAGCUUCCUGUCAACGUCCGAUUCUGCCUCGAAGGCAUGGAGGAGUCAGGCUCUGAGGGCCUAGACGAGCUGAUUUUUGCCCAGAAAGACACAUUCUUUAAGGAUGUGGACUAUGUCUGCAUUUCUGACAAUUACUGGCUGGGAAAGAAGAAGCCCUGCAUCACCUACGGCCUCAGGGGCAUUUGCUACUUUUUCAUCGAGGUGGAGUGCAGCAACAAAGACCUCCAUUCUGGGGUGUACGGGGGCUCGGUGCACGAGGCCAUGACUGAUCUCAUUUUGCUGAUGGGCUCUUUGGUGGACAAGAGGGGGAACAUCCUGAUCCCCGGCAUUAACGAGGCCGUGGCCGCCGUCACGGAAGAGGAGCACAAGCUGUAUGACGACAUCGACUUUGACAUAGAGGAGUUUGCCAAGGAUGUGGGGGCGCAGAUCCUCCUGCACAGCAACAAGAAAGACAUCCUCAUGCACCGAUGGCGGUACCCGUCUCUGUCCCUCCAUGGCAUCGAAGGCGCCUUCUCUGGGUCUGGGGCCAAGACCGUGAUUCCCAGGAAGGUAGUUGGCAAGUUUUCCAUCAGGCUGGUGCCGAACAUGACUCCUGAAGUCGUCAGCGAGCAGGCAUGUGGGGCUGGGACACGGGGUGGGGGCCAAGAGCUACUGUGUCCGGGCAGAGACUUGGGUAAUAAAGGCUGUUACUCGACAGACACCCGGGCCAUGCAUGCCCCUGCUUCCUGGCUCUGGCCAAGUCAGUAAUUAUGACAGUCACGGUUCAGAAGCUAAUCAAAGAUAAUGCAUCACAUGUAAGUGACCUUUGUUACUGAUGAGGCAGGCCAAAAUCUGGCCUUUGACCUCACCUCAAGGCUCCAGGCCAAACACCAACGUUGGGCCAAGUGUGUUCUGGUCAGAGUACCGGAGCCGCCCCUUACCAUGGUGGCUUGUGGAGGGGACUCUGGUGGCUGGAGGUCAGCCCAGCUUCUGACUGUCCCCCUCAGCUGGGAUUCCUGGGGAGAUGGAGUCUUCCCACUGGGAAUGGGAGCGUGGGGCUCGCCCUUCAUGCUGAAUACUGAGGUCUUGUCACGAGGAGGUGUCCCCGGGUCAGCGCCUGGCUCUAUCCUGGGUCUGGAUGCAGUGUAGCCUGUGGUCAUUGAUUUUAUGAAGUACCUCGGUCUGCUCAGGCUGCCACAAUAAAGACCACAGACGCGGUAGCUUACGUGGCAGAAACGGAUUCCUCACUGUUUUGGAGGCGGAUGAGUCCAGGACCAAGGUGCCGGCAGCUGUGGCAUCUGAUGAGGGUUCCUCCUGGCCGUGGCCGCUGCCCUCGCUUGUGCUCACAUGGCAGAGGGCAGGCUCUCGGUAUCUUCUCACCCAGGCCCACCCUUCUGGCCUCAUUUAACCUUUGUCUAAAUAAGGUUUAGAAAGAGAAAAAAAAAACUACUAAAGAAAAAAAGCUAGGCUUUUAAAGAAUUCAAGUUAGUUUUAUUCAGGCGUCUCACUGAGGAACGCGGACUGCGGCCCGGGGCCCAGGAGCAGCCUUCGAGAGGUUUGGCCGGGCUGCUCCGAGAGAGCGGCUCAGCCCGCAGCUCAUCUGCAGGUGGAGGAGCUUCGGUGCGUGCAGAAUCACAUCGCACCUGUCAGAUGUUACAUUCCAGCCAAGCCACGCUGCGCCUCGGUGUAAGAGCACAUGUGGUCAAAGGUCACAGAGGCGCAACCACUAAUGCGGUCAGGUGCUAUCUUAUGUGUGGGAAAAGGUAAGGACAGGGUCAUUUAUCUCCUAAGGAAUGCAGCGACUCGGGCAAGAGGCAGGGGUGGUGUGUGCUCCCCCGUUUUGUCUUCAAAGCAUCUUUCCUGAGAGCUACAGGUAGUGGCAGGGUGGAGCCUGUGAAAUAGGCCGGCAAGCAGAAUGGUGCAAACGCAGCUUCUCACAUUUGUGACUUUGUCUCACACCUUAGUUACUUCUGUUAAGUCCCCAAGUGUAGUCAUAAUGGAGUUUAGGGCUUAAAUAUAUGAAUUCUGGGGGCACGCAAACAUUCUGUCCAUAAUAUAAAGCAGGUCAGGGAAGAUUGUUUUUAAACUUAAUUUAAAUAGUAUCAUCCUUUAGAAGAUCUUUGGAAAGAGUGAAUUGCUUGAUAUUAAAACUUUGUCUUUUACUUUGAAAUAACUGGGUUUUAUUUUUUGAUAAGAAGUCCCCUCUUUCUGGCCAGGCGCAGUGGCUCACACUUGUAAUCCCAGCACUUUGGGAGGCCAAGGCGGGCGGAUCACGAAGUCAGGAGAUCGAGACCACGGUGAAACCCCGUCUCUACUGAAAAGACAAAAAUUAGCCGGGCGUGGUGGCGGGCGCCUGUAGUCCCAGCUGCUCAGAGAGGCUGAGGCAGGAGAAUGGCGUGAACCCGGGAGGCGGAGCUUGCAGUGAGCCGAGAUCACGCCACUGUGCUCCAGCCUGGACAACAGAGCGAGACUCCGUCUCAGAAAAAAUAAAAAAUAAAAAAAGAAGUUUCCUCUUUCCUUACUCUAGUUAUGUAGCUCAGUAUUAAGCAACAGAAAAUGAGACUCAUCGUAGACUCAGCAUAGACCCAUCACAGACCUGUCAGAGGCCGAUUGUCACAAGCUACCUAACUAAGAAGUUUGCUGAACUACGCAGCCCCAAUGAGUUCAAGGUGUACAUGGGCCACGGUGGGAAGCCCUGGGUCUCCGACUUCAGUCACCCUCAUUACCUGGCUGGGAGAAGAGCCAUGAAGACAGUUUUUGGUGUUGAGCCAGACUUGACCAGGGAAGGCGGCAGUAUUCCCGUGACCUUGACCUUUCAGGAGGCCACAGGCAAGAACGUCAUGCUGCUGCCUGUGGGGUCGGCGGAUGACGGAGCCCACUCCCAGAAUGAAAAGCUCAACAGGCAUAACUACAUAGAGGGAACCAAGAUGCUGGCCGCGUACCUGUAUGAGGUCUCCCAGCUGAAGGACUAGGCCAAGCCCUCUGUGUGCCAUCUCCGACGAGAAGGAAUCCUGCCCUCACCUCACCCUUUUCCAACUUGCCCAGGGAAGUGGAGGUUCCCUCUUUCCUUUCCCUCUUGUCAGGUCAUCCACGACUUCAGAGAACAGACACAAGUGUAUCCAGCUGUCCACGGGUGGAGCUACCCGAUGGGCUUAUGAGUGACCUGGAGUGACAGCUGAGUCACCCUGGCUAAGUUCUCAGAGUGGUCAGGAUGGCUUGACCUGCAGAAGAUACCCAAGGUCCAAAAGCACAAGGUCUGCGGAAAGUUCUGGUUGUCGGCCGGGCACCAUGGCUCACACCUAUAAUCGAGCACUUUGGGAGGCCAAGACAGGAGGAUCGCUUGAGGCCAGGAGUCUGAGACAAGCCUAGGCAACAAAACAAGACUCUGUCUCUACAAAAAGUUUAAGAAAUGAGCCAGACAUGGUGAUGUAUGCCUGUAGUCCCAGCCACUCAGAAGGCUGAGGCAGGAGAAUCACUUGAGACCAAGAGUUUGAGCCUGCAGUGAGCUGUGAAUGCACCACGGCACUCAAGCCUGGGCAAUGUAGCAAGAUCCUGUCUCUACAAGAAAUUUUUUAAAAAUGAGCCAAGUGUGGUGGUGCAUGCCUGUAGUUCCAGCUACUCAGGACACUGACGUAGGAGGGUUGCUUGAGACUGAGAGUUGGAGGCUGCGAUGAGCCAUGAAUGCCCCACUGCAUUCCAGCCUGGGCGACAGAACGAGACCCCAUCUCAAAAAAAAUAAGUUCUGGUUGUCAUUGAAUUGGGAUAAACAGAGAGCUUGAUGCUUUCUGCCUUCUGUCUCAGGUGAUGCAUUGCACAUUUGGGAUAUUUGGAAAGGAAAUGAGGAAAGAAAUCAGGGCCUCCUCUGAUCUCUCGCUAUCUGCGGGUCCUGUCCUUUUCUCGAGACCUUCACCAUUACUGGCGUUUUCCUGUCUUCUCUUUAGUAUGAUUCCCUCAAAACCUCACUAACUGGAAGGAUGAUUUUGUCUCAGUUUGUACUCCUAAAUAAAAAGUAAACAUGACACCUCUAAAA